GGGAGCCUUUUGGCAAUUAGGCUCCCACUGUCUCUUUAAGAGCGCGCCCGAGACUCGCGGCGCGCUCUUAGUUUCAGGCGGGACACGUGACCGCCUCACGCGGUCACUGCCCGCCUUCCAUCUGAAGCAGUUGGAUGAGCCGCGCGCGGCUCGUGCAGCCGCAGGACCGCGCGCGGCUUGAAGAGAGGACCGCGACCGGCCCCCGGUUAAGGUAAGUAACGC
Non-coding RNA from Pelobates cultripes (western spadefoot toad), 222 nucleotides. Lineage: Eukaryota; Metazoa; Chordata; Amphibia; Anura; Pelobatidae. The record is from the annotation of a GenBank genome assembly.